Molecule: transfer RNA, 83 nt
Filed under: Ameiurus melas (black bullhead)
Lineage: Eukaryota; Metazoa; Chordata; Actinopteri; Siluriformes; Ictaluridae
Rfam family: tRNA
About the family: Transfer RNA (tRNA) molecules are approximately 80 nucleotides in length. Their secondary structure includes four short double-helical elements and three loops (D, anti-codon, and T loops).
Source: Rfam by way of RNAcentral
ACUGGGAUGGCCGAGUGUUUAAGGCAUUGGACGUAGGUUCCAAUGGAUUAAAGUCCUCGUGGGUUCAAACCCCACUCCUGGUA